GAUGAACGCUGGCGGCGUGCUUAACACAUGCAAGUCGAGCGGGCAAUUUAUCUAGCACUGAUUACUUCAAAUGGAAAUCAUAAGUGUAAUCAUGAAUUUCUACCUUUAAUAAAGAAAAAGAAAUUCAUGUACGCAAAUAGUGAUAACACAUUUUAGUGAAGUGAUGAGUGCUGGAUAAAUUGCUAGCGGCGGACGGGUGCGUAACACGUGGGUAACCUGCCCCUAUCACUGGGAUAACACACUGAAAAGUGUGCUAAUACCAGAUAAUAUAAGCUUUUGGUCAUCAUUAGCUUAUCAAAGAAUUUCGGAUAGGGAUGGGCCCGCGUCUGAUUAGCUAGUUGGUGAGGUAACGGCUCACCAAGGCAACGAUCAGUAGCCGACCUGAGAGGGUGAUCGGCCACACUGGAACUGAGACACGGUCCAGACUCCUACGGGAGGCAGCAGUGGGGAAUAUUGCACAAU
This 462-nucleotide ribosomal RNA is filed under the name uncultured bacterium. RNAcentral describes it as "bacterial SSU rRNA". It matches the Rfam family "Bacterial small subunit ribosomal RNA", at positions 28 to 372 of the family's 1533-position model. The record is from RNAcentral.